Molecule: non-coding RNA, 2069 nt
Organism: Trichinella spiralis
Lineage: Eukaryota; Metazoa; Nematoda; Enoplea; Trichinellida; Trichinellidae
Source: Rfam
AAUAUCACACGGAAGAUGAAAGAACACCUGAGCUGGUUGACGUUUGAAAACACCAUCCGGAUUUAUAACUCAUUCAUGAAAAAAUGAGGUUUUUGUUUUCUUUUUUCCUUUUACCAUUCUUGUUCCAUUGUUGUUAUUUGCUUUAAUCCUGUAUUUUACCGCCGGCAAUUCCAUUGUUAUUAUUACUGUUACUGUUAUUAUUGUUACUAUUGUUUUUACUUUUACUUACUACUGUUAUUAUACUUUAAUUCGUUAACUUACGUUAUUGUUACCACUACUUACUUUGCUCUCUCGCAAACGUUCGUUGUUGUUUCUUUUGGACCAGGUUUAGAGAAAUCGCACGCACAGCGGAACUGGACCGCUUAAGCCAGAAAUAGUAAAGUAACAAUAGCCAAAUGCCUCGUCAUCUAAUUAGUGACGCGUAUGAAUGGAUCAACAAGAUUCCUUCUGUCCCUAUCUACUAUCUAGCGAAACCACAGCCAAGGGAACGGGCUUGGCAAAAUCAGCGGGGAAAGAAGACCCUGUUGAGCUUGACUCUAGUCUGACUCUGUGAAGAGACAUGAAAGGUGUAGCAUAGGUGGGAGAUUGUCAAUUUGCCAUCGUUCACGCGAUGGUCCGGUGAUCGCCAAUGAAAUACCACUACUUUGAUCGUUUCUUUACUUAUUCGGUAAAGCGAAAAAAUUGUGGCCAAUUUGGCGGCGUUUAUGUCGCUGUUGGUCAUUGUUUUCAUGUUGGAUUGAAGCUUUGUUUACAGCCGUCGCUUUGUGUCUUCAUUUGGCGCAUUGUUGUACUGGGUUAUCCCAGUGUGUGAUGUGGUCACAAUGGAUGAUCGGCGAUAGGCUUGAAGUGAUUCGCUCCGGAAACAGUGUCAGACGGGGAGUUUGACUGGGGCGGUACAUCUGUUAAACGAUAACGCCAGGUGUCCUAAAGUAAGCUCAGCGAGGGACAGAAANNNNNNNNNNCCCUCUAGAGGACGGUGGGAUGGGAUUACCUCCCUCCGGGGAGGUUUUUUUUUCAGGCAGGCAGAAAGGCACUCGGCCAAGAUGGCUGGAUCGUCGGACCCCCUCUCGAAACGGGUGCUGGAAUCUUUCAUCGAAAAGGUGGGAACAUCCGCCCGUGGACCCGAAAAGUCAUUGAAAGCUGCUCGGCGCGUCUUCCCCGAAAAAAACGGUACCAACGCUUUUUUCAGACGUACCAGAGCGGUGGGUGGAAAGAAAUUUUCGGGAAACACUAUUGGGAACGCCUGGUUGACAAACGGCCGUGCCCGCGGAAGAAAUUUCAUAAUGGCUGUGAAAUUCCGUUCCAACACCGCAGCCACCCGGGCCGAAAACCUACGAGGCCGCCCCGGCACGAAAGAAUGCCGGUUUUGCAAGAGUGCCACCGAAACUUUGGCACACAUUUGCCAGAGGUGUCCGGCAAAUCACGGCUUGGUUAUCCAGCGCCAUGACGCAGUCGUAACAUUCCUGGGGGAAGUGGCGCGGAAGGAAGGUUACCAGGUCAUGAUAGAGCCUAAGGUGUCAACCCCGGUCGGCGCGCUCAAGCCCGACCUCCUACUCAUCAAAGCCGACACUGCAUUCAUUGUGGAUGUAGGCAUUGCAUGGGAAGGUGGACGCCCACUAAAGCUGGUCAACAAAAUGAAAUGUGACAAGUACAAAACUGCCAUCCCGGCAAUUUUGGAAACAUUUCACGUUGGCCAUGCUGAGACGUACGGCGUUAUUCUGGGCAGCCGCGGAUGCUGGCUCAAGAGCAACGACAAGGCGUUGGCAUCAAUUGGGCUCAAUAUCACACGGAAGAUGAAAGAACACCUGAGCUGGUUGACGUUUGAAAACACCAUCCGGAUUUAUAACUCAUUCAUGAAAAAAUGAGGUUUUUGUUUUCUUUUUUCCUUUUACCAUUCUUGUUCCAUUGUUGUUAUUUGCUUUAAUCCUGUAUUUUACCGCCGGCAAUUCCAUUGUUAUUAUUACUGUUACUGUUAUUAUUGUUACUAUUGUUUUUACUUUUACUUACUACUGUUAUUAUACUUUAAUUCGUUAACUUACGUUAUUGUUACCGACUACUUACUUGCUCUC